This 507-nucleotide ribosomal RNA is filed under the name uncultured Chloroflexota bacterium. RNAcentral describes it as "uncultured Chloroflexi bacterium partial 16S ribosomal RNA". It matches the Rfam family "Bacterial small subunit ribosomal RNA", at positions 64 to 582 of the family's 1533-position model. The record is from RNAcentral. Lineage: Bacteria; Bacillati; Chloroflexota.
GAACGUGAGCCUUGAUUUCGGUCGAGGUGAAAGUGGCGAACGGGUGAGUAACACAUGGCUGACCUGCCCCUCAGAGGGGGAUAACUACUGGAAACGGUAGCUAAUACCCCGUACGCUCGUCCGGGUUAGAGGCCGGGUGAGGAAAGGCCGAAAGGCUGCUGAGGGAGGGGGCUGUGGCCCAUCAGCUAGUUGGUGGGGUAAUGGCCUACCAAGGCGAGGACGGGUAGGGGGCCUGGGAGGGUGACCCCCCACACGGGCACUGAGAGACGGGCCCGACUCCUACGGGAGGCAGCAGUAAGGGAUAUUGCGCCAAUGGGCGAAAGCCUGACGCAGCAACGCCGCGUGCGGGAAGACGGCCUUCNNNUUGUAANNCGCUUUGGAAGGGGACGAGGCAGGACGGUACCCUUGGAACAAGUCUCGGCUNNNUACGUGCCAGCAGCCGCGGUAAAACGUAGGAGGNNAGCGUUAUCCGGAGUUACUGGGNGUAAAGGGCGUGUAGGCGGCUGG